UACGUAGGCAGCAAGCGUUGUUCGGAGUUACUGGGCGUAAAGGGUGUGUAGGCGGUUGUUUAAGUCUGGUGUGAAAUCUCCCGGCUCAACCGGGAGGGUGCGCCGAAUACUGAAUGACUUGGAGUGCGGGAGAGGAAAGUGGAAUUCCUGGUGUAGCGGUGAAAUGCGUAGAUAUCAGGAGGAACACCAGUGGUGUAGACGGCUUUCUGGACCGUAACUGACGCUGAGACACGAAAGCGUGGGUAGCAAACAGG
RNAcentral lists this ribosomal RNA (254 nucleotides) under uncultured bacterium. Its description in RNAcentral is "partial 16S ribosomal RNA". It matches the Rfam family "Bacterial small subunit ribosomal RNA", at positions 524 to 776 of the family's 1533-position model. The record is from RNAcentral.